RNAcentral lists this long non-coding RNA (1064 nucleotides) under Felis catus (domestic cat). RNAcentral describes it as "lncRNA (ENSFCAG00000041394.2)". The record is from RNAcentral. Lineage: Eukaryota; Metazoa; Chordata; Mammalia; Carnivora; Felidae.
GAGAUUCACCUAACUUUAAAUGAUUUGGUGGGGCCAUUCUGAAUAGACAAUAACGAUUAGUCCUUUUUCUAAGGAGUAUCAUACAUUUCUAAGUGGAUUGUUUAUAUCUGAAUGUUUGUUGCUCAUCUCAAUUCACAUUAUAAGGUUAAGAUGUGGUUUUAUUUUAUGGUUUAAUUUAUGCUCACUUAUGCUAAUUGAGGCUUGGACUAGUAGUUUGUAAGGAGUAAACAGACUAUUUUUUUCAGAUAUUCAUAUUUUGAUCAUGGCUUAAUUGUACAAAUUGUCAUUUUUGAUAUUGCAUUGACCUUUUCCAAACAUAGCUAUUUUGUAUAAAGACUUACCUUUUUUUUAAAAAAAUCAUUUCUGCAUCUUCUUCUCUAUUUUCUUCAGUUGAGGUGUGGCUUAAACUACCUUUCAGUGGAAUAAAUACUGUGACCUCUCAGGUCAACUUCUAACUGGAGAGUCUGUUCUGUGAUCAUAUACCUCUGCUAUGAUUGGAAAGAGUGAGAUCUGUGUCAGUGACGGACUGUGUACCUUUUUCAAGGAGGAAGUAGAUUUUCAGGCUCUAUUAAAGAUGUUGUGCUUACCAUGUUUCUCAUCUCCUGUAUCCAUACCAGCAGUAGAAUUCCAGUCAUCAGACUCUUGAACCCACAGCUUCUGCCACAGCCACCGCCAAGGAGAUCCCCCUCAGAGCCCAGAAAACACACAUUCAUGAUGGCAUUGCCCAGGAACUAUGAAGUCUGUUUGGAUAUGAAGAACCUGAAACUUUUGUCUGCUCAGAUGGAAGCCAGGCUGGUGGCCACGUCAGGAAGAAUGCUUGAAAGCCUCGGAUCAGAAUUUAUAGAGGCCCGGAGUUCCUGGCACUACCUGACAUAACUGGCAUUAUUUGAUCUUUCUAACCACAGCACCCCAAAGCUGAAAAGAAUCAGUCAGGUAGAAUUCACAUUUAUUUUUUCCUUCAAUGAAAAUCAUUGUAUAGUAGCAUAUGUUUAAGGGAAUGUGUGAGUUUUAUUGCAGGUCAGAAAGGCUGCAGUUCUAAUCCGUGAUUCACAAAGAAAACAGAG